AUUGAACGCUGGCGGUAGGCCUAACACAUGCAAGUCGAACGAGUGGCGGAAGGGUGAGUAAUGUGUGGGAAACUGCCCGAUGGAGGGGGAUAAAUACUGGAAACGGUAGCUAAUACCGCAUACCAUCGGAUGUGCACAGAUGGGAUUAGCGAGUAGGUGGGGUAACGGCUCACCUAGGCGACGAUCCCUAGCUGGUCUGAGAGGAUGACCAGCCACACUGGAACUGAGAAACGGGCCAGACUCCUACGGGAGGCAGCAGUGGGGAAUAUUGCACAAUGGGCGCAAGCCUGAUGCAGCCAUGCCGCGUGUAUGAAGAAGGCCUUCGGGUUGUAAAGUACUUUCAGCGGGGAGGCGUUACCCGCAGAAGAAGCACCGGCUAACUCCGUGCCAGCCGCCGCGGUAAUUC
Molecule: ribosomal RNA, 406 nt
Filed under: uncultured bacterium
Lineage: Bacteria
Description: partial 16S ribosomal RNA
Rfam family: Bacterial small subunit ribosomal RNA
Source: RNAcentral